This 450-nucleotide ribosomal RNA is filed under the name uncultured bacterium. RNAcentral's name for it is "partial 16S ribosomal RNA". It matches the Rfam family "Bacterial small subunit ribosomal RNA", at positions 354 to 796 of the family's 1533-position model. The record is from RNAcentral.
GUGGGGAAUCUUCCGCAAUGGACGAAAGUCUGACGGAGCAACGCCGCGUGAGUGAUGAAGGUCUUCGGAUUGUAAAGCUCUGUUAAUCGGGACGAAAGAGCCUAGUGUGAAUAAUGCUAGGACGUGACGGUACCGGAAUAGAAAGCCACGGCUAACUACGUGCCAGCAGCCGCGGUAAUACGUAGGUGGCAAGCGUUGUCCGGAAUUAUUGGGCGUAAAGCGCGCGCAGGCGGAUCUGUCAGUCUGUCUUAAAAGUUCGGGGCUUAACCCCGUGAUGGGAUGGAAACUACAGAUCUAGAGUGUAGGAGAGGAAAGUGGAAUUCCUAGUGUAGCGGUGAAAUGCGUAGAUAUUAGGAAGAACACCAGUGGCGAAGGCGGCUUUCUGGACUGUAACUGACACUGAGGCACGAAAGCGUGGGGAGCAAACAGGAUUAGAAACCCUAGUAGUCC